GACGAACGCUGGCUGCGUGCUUAACACAUGCAAGUCGAACGCUGAAGCCUGGUGCUUGCACCGGGUGGAUGAGUGGCGAACGGGUGAGUAACACGUGAGUAACCUGCCCCUGACUUCGGGAUAAGCCCGGGAAACUGGGUCUAAUACCGGAUACGACUGCCGGACGCAUGUCUGGUGGUGGAAAGUUUUUUCGGUUGGGGAUGGGCUCGCGGCCUAUCAGUUUGUUGGUGAGGUAAUGGCUCACCAAGACGACGACGGGUAGCCGGCCUGAGAGGGCGACCGGCCACACUGGGACUGAGACACGGCCCAGACUCCUACGGGAGGCAGCAGUGGGGAAUAUUGCACAAUGGGGGAAACCCUGAUGCAGCGACGCAGCGUGCGGGAUGACGGCCUUCGGGUUGUAAACCGCUUUCAGCAGGGAAGAAGCGCAAGUGACGGUACCUGCAGAAGAAGUACCGGCUAACUACGUGCCAGCAGCCGCGGUAAUACGUAGGGUACGAGCGUUGUCCGGAAUUAUUGGGCGUAAAGAGCUCGUAGGUGGUUGGUCACGUCUGCUGUGGAAACGCAACGCUUAACGUUGCGCGUGCAGUGGGUACGGGCUGACUAGAGUGCAGUAGGGGAGUCUGGAAUUCCUGGUGUAGCGGUGAAAUGCGCAGAUAUCAGGAGGAACACCGGUGGCGAAGGCGGGACUCUGGGCUGUAACUGACACUGAGGAGCGAAAGCAUGGGGAGCGAACAGGAUUAGAUACCCUGGUAGUCCAUGCCGUAAACGUUGGGCACUAGGUGUGGGGGGCAUUCCACGUUCUCCGCGCCGUAGCUAACGCAUUAAGUGCCCCGCCUGGGGAGUACGGUCGCAAGGCUAAAACUCAAAGGAAUUGACGGGGGCCCGCACAAGCGGCGGAGCAUGCGGAUUAAUUCGAUGCAACGCGAAGAACCUUACCAAGGCUUGACAUACACCGGACCGUCCUGGAAACAGGUCCUCUUCUUUGAAGCUGGUGUACAGGUGGUGCAUGGUUGUCGUCAGCUCGUGUCGUGAGAUGUUGGGUUAAGUCCCGCAACGAGCGCAACCCUCGUUCUAUGUUGCCAGCACGUGAUGGUGGGAACUCAUAGGAGACUGCCGGGGUCAACUCGGAGGAAGGUGGGGAUGACGUCAAAUCAUCAUGCCCUUUAUGUCUUGGGCUUCACGCAUGCUACAAUGGCUGGUACAGAGAGAGGCGAACCCGUGAGGGCAAGCGAAUCCCUUAAAGCCAGUCUCAGUUCGGAUCGUAGUCUGCAAUUCGACUACGUGAAGUCGGAGUCGCUAGUAAUCGCAGAUCAGCAACGCUGCGGUGAAUACGUUCCCGGGCCU
This 1347-nucleotide ribosomal RNA is filed under the name uncultured bacterium. Its description in RNAcentral is "bacterial SSU rRNA". It matches the Rfam family "Bacterial small subunit ribosomal RNA", at positions 28 to 1381 of the family's 1533-position model. The record is from RNAcentral.